RNAcentral lists this long non-coding RNA (558 nucleotides) under Capsicum annuum. Its description in RNAcentral is "long non-coding RNA (CANN_LNC007059)". The record is from RNAcentral. Lineage: Eukaryota; Viridiplantae; Streptophyta; Magnoliopsida; Solanales; Solanaceae.
UGGACUGUUUUGCUAGUUCUUUGGAAACAAGUAUCCUUAUAUGAUCUUAUGUGCUUCCAAACUGGUAUUGGACUGUUUUGUUGAGGGGGAUGUUGUUUCACGUUUCCCCUACGUUUUGAGCUAUUUUGUGACUAUGUUAAGAUUUAUUUGAUGUAUAUAUAUGUUGGGAGCAUCUGGUUCAAAGUUGGGACAAGUAUGAAUUGUUAACGAUGAAAUGUAGGGAGACGACGAGAUGUUGUGCUUCUUAGUUGAGCGUUUUGUAAAAUGGUUAUGUGUUGUAGUUAUGGACUGUUGCCAGCAUGUUAUAGAACUAAUAUAGGCUGUAUACAUCAUGUAUAUGAUAAUGUAUGCUGGUUGAAUACAGUUAGAAUUGAGAAAGUCGGAAUAACACCAUUGAGUUGAUGGUUAUACGUUUGUUGCCAAAGUGUUGUGUCUUGUGAGAUUGGGCUGUCCAGAUGCAUUGAUUAGCUGCUAAUAAUAGCUUUAAAACAUGAUAUUGUAGAUAAAUAUUUUGAAGAAAAGAAGUCAUUUUGACGUAAAAACAAGUUGAUAUGUCGA